CGGGGCGUAGCGUAGUGGCUAGCGCGCCUGCUUUGGGAGCAGGAGAUCGCAGGUUCGAGUCCUGUCGCCCCGACCAGCU
RNAcentral lists this transfer RNA (79 nucleotides) under Cutibacterium acnes KPA171202. Its description in RNAcentral is "tRNA-Pro". It matches the Rfam family "tRNA". From Rfam's summary of the family: Transfer RNA (tRNA) molecules are approximately 80 nucleotides in length. Lineage: Bacteria; Bacillati; Actinomycetota; Actinomycetes; Propionibacteriales; Propionibacteriaceae. The record is from RNAcentral.